Medicago truncatula (barrel medic) is the source of this 116-nucleotide small nuclear RNA. It matches the Rfam family "U5 spliceosomal RNA". From Rfam's summary of the family: U5 RNA is a component of both types of known spliceosome. The precise function of this molecule is unknown, though it is known that the 5' loop is required for splice site selection and p220 binding, and that both the 3' stem-loop and the Sm site are important for Sm protein binding and cap methylation. NCBI's taxonomy places the organism in Eukaryota, Viridiplantae, Streptophyta, Magnoliopsida, Fabales, Fabaceae. The record is from Rfam.
AGCCUUGUGAUGAUCACAUAGCGAACUAUUAUUUUGCCUUUUACUAAAGAAUACUGUGUGAACGUCACAAUUAGCAGCAUAUGCCAGUUUUUGGAAGAGUCCUAUUCAUGGAGUGC